Long non-coding RNA from Hypanus sabinus (Atlantic stingray), 1678 nucleotides. RefSeq lists it as uncharacterized. NCBI's taxonomy places the organism in Eukaryota, Metazoa, Chordata, Chondrichthyes, Myliobatiformes, Dasyatidae. The transcript is spliced from 2 exons. The record is from RefSeq and is a predicted model, not a curated record.
GUGACCAAUCAACGUGCGGCUUGCUACUGAGUGCUCUUCGGUCCACGGCGUGGACCUGCUGCGCAUGUCUGCGUAGUGCCUUAUGGUGAUUGUAGUCUUACGCGAGAAGACCUGAGGCAGAAUGUCCAUCCAGAAUCAGUUAACAAAUUUUGCAUCACAAAUAAAGAAACUGAUGAACUGAGAGUAAACUAUCCACAAGGAUACAUGAACAUCACCCGGCUGUAAAGCGACAUGAACAACUCUUCCUCGUCUCUACCCAUGAAGAUCAAGAGGGGCACAAAUUCAACUGGGCAUCAGAGAAAGUCGCGGUGCAAGUAAACACGCGGCAUGCAAAGGAAUUCCUAGAAGUGUGGUUUUCCACAAACAAUUCUGUAAGCAGAUACAUAGACCUUGGUCCUAUUUAUGAACCAAUGCGGGCAAAAUUCCAGGCUGCAACACCCAGAGUUUGCCAUGCAAACAAUCAGUGAUGAGACCACCUCCCUACAUCACAACUGAGUCUCCAUAAUGAGGACCAAUCAGCUGAACGUUAAAUGAAAGCCAAGCAUUCAGAGGACAUGCCACAAUCAACAGCUCACUGGUGAUGUCUGCUCUUAUGCUGAUGAAACUUUUGCAAAUGGAUUGCCAAGAUCAGAGGACCAACCAUAAAGAAAUACAAAUAGAAUCUACCAAAAACCAUACAUUAAGACUGACAAACAACCAAUAUGCAAAAGAAGACAAAAAUAUUUGGCCUUCACUACGUGGCACAGAUUCACCACCCUUGGCCGAAUGAAUUCCUUCUCACCUCAUUUCAAAAAGGGCAGCCCUUUAUCCCGAAGCUGUGUCCUCUGGUUCUAGACUCUCCAUACAGAUUGUGAACCAGGGUUAAUUUCCCACCCUCUGCCUGUAAGGAGUUUAUACGUUCUCCCUGUGAUCCCAGGGGUUUCAUCCCAUGGUCUAAAGACGUAUCUGUUGGUGGGUUAAUUGGUCGGUGUAAAUUGUCCCGUAAUCAAGCUAGGAUUAAAUUGGGGUUGCUGGGCAACACAGCUUGAAGGGCCAGUAGGGCCUGUUCCACACUCUGUCUCAAUCAAUAAAUAAAUAAGAACUUUGGUGGUGUGUUUUCAGACCAACUGAGCAAUCUGGCACUUUGCUGUCUCCUUUACGUGAGGCAUACGGCCUCGAGGCCAAGGAGCCUUGAGAUGGGUUGCAAGCCCACGAUUGAUGCCAUUUCUCACCAAUUCCUGCACUGAGGAAGAUUGAAAGCAUCGAGGGGAGCAGGUGUUCAGUGCCAUAUGCCAGCCUUUCACCUGCUGCUUCUGAGGAGGUGGCUGCGUGCGAUGGUCGGUGGAUGGUGUCCGAGUCUUGGGCUUUGAGCAAGGUUUAAAUGACGGAUUAGACUCCAGUUCACGUUAUGAUAUGUUUCUAGUUGCUACUUUUCACUGGUGUUGGGUGAUUUUGAAUCAGGGAGGUCUGCAGAUAACACUGAACUGAAUAUACCUGGACUCUUUUGAUUUUGUGUUUUUCACUUUUUUUUGUUGAUGUUUGCAUGAUUUGGUGUUUUUUUGCAUGUGGAGGUGUUGAUGUUUUUCUUUCCACAGGUGGUUCCAUGGGUUUCUUUGUUUCGUGGCUGUCUGUGAGAAGAUGAAUCUCAGAGUUGUAUAUUGCAUACAUACUUUAAUAGUAAAUGUACUUUGACUCUUCA